Molecule: non-coding RNA, 73 nt
Organism: Mercenaria mercenaria
Lineage: Eukaryota; Metazoa; Mollusca; Bivalvia; Venerida; Veneridae
Source: the annotation of a RefSeq genome assembly
CGUCAGGUAGCUCAGUUGGUAGAGCAACCCAGACAUGAUGGGGAGGUCCCAGGUUCGAUUCCUGGCCUGACGA